CUCUGUUAUUGAAGCGGCGGGUUUGUGUAAUGUUUUCAUUGUUGGGAAAAUAGACCCUCUAAAUGUAACUGUCGCGUCUCAAGACACUAGUUUAGAUGAGAUGAAAAGGAGCAGCCAUCUUCUUUCUGAUAGACGCCUCUGCGUUACACAGUAACCAACCCAUGGACUGGACUUUUGCAGGACUCCAUCACGUAAGAUCAAUUCAACUUGGCAGCGUGUCUUAUCGCUGUGGGAGGAAAUAGGAGCUGCUGGAAGAAGGCCAUGUUUACAGAAGAAAUGCAUACAAACUCCCCUAGAAGCCCCUGCAGCUGCCAGUCAAACUGGGGUCCGUGCAUAAUGGGACAGCAUCGCCCAUGCUGCCUGCUCAUUACUCAUAUGGUGUAGAAAUGGUUACCUCUGAUUUUAUGUGGGCAACGAAGAUGUGAAUGCAUUGAGGACAAAAUGUCCCCCUUAUUUUUACAGAGUGAAAAAUGCUGUGCCCAUUUUCCGAGUAAUUUAUAUCUAAACUUUUCAUAUGCGUGUGUCUAACUGUAUCAUUAUUUACUUAUCUGUUUUUAUUGCCUUUAUCCUUUUGACUGGUCACAUUUCUUCUGUUUUUCCAGUUAGGCAAGUGAAGUGACUUGCUCAGGGUCACACAGUGUUAGUGGCUGGAUUUGAACCCACGACCUCAGGGGUUGAGUUUUAACGGCUGUGCCUGCUGCAGUGCAGACCCCUUGAGGAGUAAAGGUUAAGAUGGUGGCGUUUUGCUUAUUUUAAAGAAAAUGUAAACUUUCUGAGAGCCCUUCUUCUUUACUUUUUGUGUGCUGUGACUCCCAUACCCCCCUCGUUUCUUUUAUUUUUCUUCACGCCAAGCUACAGAAUGAGUUAGUGAGGACAAUCAGAAGGUAAGCUCCAUGGAUCAGGUCAGGGGAUACAGUCCAUGACGCUCCAGUCCCGGCUGAAGACCCCCUCAUGACACUAUUGACGUCCCCCUCGUGACAUAUUGUCCUCUGCAUUGUCUUCUUAUUCUCCACCUGAAGUUCUGCCCAGCCAACCAAGGGCUGAUGAGGGUGGCAGUGCCCCCCUGACUCUUGUCUUCUGUCGUCAUGUCCAUUAGAUGCCCCUGUGGCUCAUGCUGGUUUGUUUAACUGCUGAUCAGACAGCAGGUGCUAAUCAUGACUGUUAAGUAUUUAUUUUCACUAAUAAAAAUAUGACUGGGAUGGACUGCAGCCUGCCAGACUUUUAUGGGCCUUAGUUAACAUUUCUAUUUUGUAU
This is a long non-coding RNA of Polypterus senegalus (gray bichir), 1254 nucleotides long. RefSeq lists it as uncharacterized. The transcript is spliced from 2 exons. The record is from RefSeq and is a predicted model, not a curated record. Lineage: Eukaryota; Metazoa; Chordata; Cladistia; Polypteriformes; Polypteridae.